This 467-nucleotide ribosomal RNA is filed under the name uncultured bacterium. Its description in RNAcentral is "partial 16S ribosomal RNA". It matches the Rfam family "Bacterial small subunit ribosomal RNA", at positions 29 to 507 of the family's 1533-position model. The record is from RNAcentral.
ACGAACGCUGGCGGCUUGCUUAACCCAUGCAAGUCGAACGGAAAGGCCCUGCUUUUGUGGGGUGCUCGAGUGGCGAACGGGUGAGUAACACGUGAGUAACCUGCCCUUGACUUUGGGAUAACUUCAGGAAACUGGGGCUAAUACCGGAUAGGAGCUCCUGCUGCAUGGUGGGGGUUGGAAAGUUUCGGCGGUUGGGGAUGGACUCGCGGCUUAUCAGCUUGUUGGUGGGGUAGUGGCUUACCAAGGCUUUGACGGGUAGCCGGCCUGAGAGGGUGACCGGCCACAUUGGGACUGAGAUACGGCCCAGACUCCUACGGGAGGCAGCAGUGGGGAAUAUUGCACAAUGGGCGGAAGCCUGAUGCAGCAACGCCGCGUGCGGGAUGACGGCCUUCGGGUUGUAAACCGCUUUCGCCUGUGACGAAGCGUGAGUGACGGUAAUGGGUAAAGAAGCACCGGCUAACUACGUG